This 253-nucleotide ribosomal RNA is filed under the name uncultured bacterium. RNAcentral describes it as "partial 16S ribosomal RNA". It matches the Rfam family "Bacterial small subunit ribosomal RNA", at positions 524 to 776 of the family's 1533-position model. The record is from RNAcentral.
UACGAAGGGGGCUAGCGUUGUUCGGAAUUCCUGGGCGUAAAGCGCGCGCCGGCGGUCCAUCAAGUCAGGGGUGAAAGCCCAGAGCUCAACCCUGGAACUGCCCUUGAAACUGGUGACCUUGAGUACGGGAGAGGUGAGUGGAAUUCCCAGUGUAGAGGUGAAAUUCGUAGAUAUUGGGAAGAACACCGGUGGCGAAGGCGGCUCACUGGCCCGUAACUGACGCUCAGGCGCGAUAGCGUGGGGAUCAAACAGG